AUUGAACGCUGGCGGCAUGCCUAACACAUGCAAGUCGAGCGGAUGAAGGGAGCUUUCUCCUGGAUUCAGCGGCGGACGGGUGAGUAAUGCCUAGGAAUCUGCCUGGUAGUGGGGGAUAACGUCCGGUAACGGGCGCUAAUACCGCAUACGUCCUGAUGGUGAAAGGGGGGGAUCUUCGGACCUCACGCUAUCAGAUGAGCCUAGGUCGCAUUAGCUAGUUGGUGGGGCAAAGGCGUACCAAGGCGACGUUCCGUAACUGGGCUGAGUGGAUGAUCAGUCACACUGGAACUGAGACACGGUCCAGACUCCUACGGGAGGCAGCAGUGGGGAAUAUUGGACAAUGGGCGAAAGCCUGAUGCAGCAAUGCCGCGUGUGUGAAGAAGGUCUUCGGAUUGUAAAGCACUUUAAGUUGGGAGGAAGGACAGUAAGUUAAUACCUUGCUGUUUUGACGUUACCAACAGAGUAAGCACCGGCUAACUUCGUG
Molecule: ribosomal RNA, 484 nt
Filed under: uncultured bacterium
Lineage: Bacteria
Description: partial 16S ribosomal RNA
Rfam family: Bacterial small subunit ribosomal RNA
Source: RNAcentral